This 888-nucleotide ribosomal RNA is filed under the name Cochranella adenocheira. Its description in RNAcentral is "partial 16S ribosomal RNA". It matches the Rfam family "Bacterial large subunit ribosomal RNA", at positions 1483 to 2596 of the family's 2925-position model. Lineage: Eukaryota; Metazoa; Chordata; Amphibia; Anura; Centrolenidae. The record is from RNAcentral.
UGUAAAAAGCGUCAAAGCUUAAUAGAGCCAAUAAUCAAUUCCAAUACCCUAAAAGAACCCUUUAAAUAAUACUGAGUAAUUCUAUACUAGUAUAGAAGAUUUUAUGUUAAAACUAGUAACAAGAAGAAGAACUUCUUAUAUAAUGCAAGUGUAAAUCAGACAGGACACCCCACUGACAAUUAUCACCAAUGAAGAAAAAGUAGCAACUCCACAAGAAAACCCUACUAAACUAAAUGUUAAUCUAACACCAGAGCAUUACAAAAAAGAUUAAAAGAAAGAGAAGGAACUCGGCAAAUAUUAACCUCGCCUGUUUACCAAAAACAUCGCCUCUUGAUUAAAUAUAAGAGGUCCAGCCUGCCCAGUGACUCUGUUCAACGGCCGCGGUAUCCUAACCGUGCGAAGGUAGCGUAAUCACUUGUUCUUUAAAUGUGGACUAGUAUGAAUGGCACCACGAAGGUUAUACUGUCUCCUCUUUCUAAUCAGUGAAACUAAUCUCCCCGUGAAGAAGCGAGGAUAUACCUAUAAGACGAGAAGACCCUAUGGAGCUUUAAACCAAAUAGCACUUGCACUAGCCUAAUAUAAAUUUCAGAAAAACCUCUUUCACCUAUGCAAGAUUACUGUUAGUUUUAGGUUGGGGUGACCGCGGAGCAAAAGACAACCUCCACAUUGAAAGGAACCCACUCCUCAGCCAAGAGUUACACCUCUACGCACCAUUAUAAUGACAUUAAUUGACCCAAUAUUUUGAUCAACGAACCAAGUUACCCUAGGGAUAACAGCGCAAUCCACUUCAAGAGCUCCUAUCGACAGUGGGUUUACGACCUCGAUGUUGGAUCAGGUAUCCCGGUGGUGUAGCCGCUACAAUGGUUCGUUUGUUCACGAUUAAACCCU